Molecule: long non-coding RNA, 811 nt
Filed under: Gossypium raimondii (Peruvian cotton)
Lineage: Eukaryota; Viridiplantae; Streptophyta; Magnoliopsida; Malvales; Malvaceae
Description: long non-coding RNA (GRAI_LNC006046)
Source: RNAcentral
CAAUUAAAUUAAAUCAUUUUUUCCCUUCCAAAUUUAUGGAUGUAGCAUACUGCCAUCUCAUUUCCAUUUGCUUAUUGUACAAGCCCAAAUAUGCUCGGGCCCAAAUAAAUAUACAAAACCCAACAACCCGUAUGACCCAAUAAAAAUUAACCCUAGCCCAAUAACCAAAUCAGCCCAAAACUAAAAAACAAGAAACAGAAACCCUAAUCUUCAGCCUUAGCCGCCGCACAGCAGCCUUGCGCACUGCCCCCUCCGCAACAGUAGCCGCCAUUAGCGCGAGUUGCGCCUCCACGCGCGCUAUGCCUUGCGCACCACACCUGCAGCAACAAAUAAUACAGCAAGCAAAAAAGAAGAGCAAAAAAAUCGGGGAGCAAUAUGCCAACAAACAACAGAAUAGAUUUAUGUAGAUUUUUUCUUUUUUUUCCUCUUUUCUAUUUUUUUUGCUAUAAAAGGCCGAUUUCAAGCAUUGUAAAAGUGGGGGGAAGUUUUUGGAGUGUAAAAAAACAGACGAAAGAUAUAGAGAGAACAUACAGGAAUCAAACUUGUUUUUGCAUAGGUGAUUUCUUCUUUGUUUUGCUUUGCAGUGUCUAUCGUUUUUUACAUAUAUAUUGUUUUAUUCUCUUUUAUUUUCGUUUUAUUUCAUUUAAAGUAAUAAAGAAAAGAAGGGAUCUUACCUCUUUCGUUAAAGUCGCCGGAUGGUUGCCAUCUCCGUCGCAAUCGGAGCGUUGGCACGAACGGCGACGCAAAAUGGGUUAAAAGAGCCCUAGCAGAGCAACUAUUCUUUUUUUUUAAAAUGUUUGUUGUGGCUGUU